This 2782-nucleotide ribosomal RNA is filed under the name Pogostemon cablin (patchouli). RNAcentral's name for it is "bacterial LSU rRNA". It matches the Rfam family "Bacterial large subunit ribosomal RNA". The record is from RNAcentral. Lineage: Eukaryota; Viridiplantae; Streptophyta; Magnoliopsida; Lamiales; Lamiaceae.
CUAAGGGUGUAUGGUGGAUGCCUUGGCAUCGAGAGGCGACGAAGGACGUGAUAGCCGACGAAACGCUCGGGCGAGCUGGCAAAUAAGCAUUGACCCCGAGAUGUCCGAAUGGGGAAACCCCACCUUCGGGUGAUCCUGCGAUGAAUGUAUAGUCGUAGGAAGCGAACGCAGGGAACUGAAACAUCUAAGUACCUGUAGGAAGAGAAAGAGACAUCGAUUCCGUGAGUAGCGGCGAGCGAAAUCGGAAGAGCCCAAACCGGGAUUCGUCCCGGGGUUGCGGGCGCCUCGAGCUGAAUAGUCCCAGACGAACGGCCUGGAAAGGCCGGCCAGAGACGGUGAAAGCCCGGUAGUCGACGGGGCGAACAGGCGUCGAGAGGCGUACCAGAGUAGUACGGAGCUCGUGGAACUCCGUAUGAAGCAGCGCGGACCACCGCGCAAGGCUAAAUACUCCUCGAUGACCGAUAGUGAACUAGUAGGGCGAUUGAACGGUGAAAAGAACAGCUGUUAGCUGAGUCAAAAGAUCCUGAAACCAUACACUUACAAGCGGUCGGAGCCCCAUCGUGGGUGACGGCGUACCUUUUGCAUAAUGGGCCGGCGAGUGCACGUCUGUGGCGAGGCUAAGCAUUUCAGAUGCGGAGCCGUAGUGAAAGCGAGCCUUAAGAUGGCGUUAAGUCGUAGGCGUGCGGCCCGAAACCUAGUGAUCUACCCAUGGCCAGUGUGAACGUCCCGUAAAAGGGACGGGAGGCACGAGACCGUGAACGUUGAAAAGUUCUGGUAUGAGCUGUGGGGAGGAGUGAAAGUCUAAUCAAACUGGGAGAUAUCUGGUUCUCUGCGAAAUGCCUUUAGGGGCAGCGUCAGGCCACUACUCUAUGGGGGUAGAGCUACUGAAUGGGAAUGUGGGCCUACCCGGCUACGCAUCCCAAUCAAACUCCGAAUACCAUAGAGACUAUCCUGGCAGUGAGUCGGCGAGCGAUAAUGUUCGUCGUCAAAAUGGAAACAACCUAGAUCGCCAGCUAAGGUCCCAAAGUCUGGCUUAGUUCGUGAGGAAGUUAUUCUACUGUGACAACCAGGAUGUUGGCUUAGAAGCAGCCACCAUUUAAAAAGUGCGUAAUAGCUUACUGGUCGAGUAGAGUAGCGCCGUAAAUGAUCGGGAAUAAGCAAGACACCGAAGCUGCGAAUUCGAAAGAGUGGUAGCAGAGCGUUGCACUCCGCGUCGAAGGUCGACUGUGAGGUCGGCUGGAGCGUGUGCAAGUGAGAAUGCCGGCAUGAGUAACGAUAAUGCAGGUGAAAAUCCUGCACGCCGAAAGCGUAAGGUUUCCUGGGGAAGGUAAAUCCGCCCAGGGUUAGUCGGGAGCUAAGGCGAGGCCGAAAGGCGUAGUCGAUGCACAAACGGUUAAUAUUCCGUUACCGUCGCGGAGAUCAAACCAAGUUGUGGUUUUUCAAGCCAGUCAAUCCGGAUAGUUGUGGAUGAUGCUGGGGCGAAGGAUCCGAGAAAAGGCUUGGGGGCAAGGCGACGUCCGUACUAAAACUGACACAGGUACGCGAGGAGAGUAUCCUAAGGCGCUCGAGAGAACUGCGGUUAAGGAACUAGGCAAUCUAACCCCGUAACUUCGGGAGAAGGGGUCCCCGCCUUCGGUGGGGCGCAGAGAAGCAGACUGGGCGACUGUUUAUCAAAAACACAGCUCCGUGCUAACUCGCAAGAGGAUGUAUACGGAGUGACGCCUGCUCGGUGCCGGAAGGUCAAGGAAGCUGGUUAGUGGGUCCGCCCGCGACGCUAGCGACUUAAGCCCCGGUAAACGGCGGCCGUAACUAUGACGGUCCUAAGGUAGCGAAGUUCCUUGUCGGGUAAGUUCCGACGUGCAUGAACGGCGUAACGACUUGGUCGCUGUCUCGACCGCAGACUCGGUGAAAUUGAAGUGGCGGUGAAGAUACCGCCUUCCCGUAGCAAGACGGAAAGACCCCAUGCACCUUUACUAUAGCCUGGUACUGAUGCCGGUUAUUGACUGCGUAGAAUAGGUGGGAGGCGUCGAUCGCUCGGUUCUGGCCGAGCGGGAGCCACAAUGUGAAAUACCACCCUGUUGGUAAUCGUCAUCUCACCCCGUGCCGUGAAUCCGGCCGGGGAACCGUGCUAGGUGGUUAGUUUGACUGGGGCGGUCUCCUCCAAAAGAGUAACGGAGGACUGCAAAGGCCCGUUCAGGACGGUUGGCAACCGUUCGUUGAGCGCAUAGGUAGAAGCGGGCUUGACUGCGAGUGGUACGCCACGAGCAGAGAUGAAAGUCGGUCUAAGUGAUCCUGUGGUCCUGUGUGGAAGGGCCAUAGCUCAAGGGAUAAAAGGUACGCUGGGGAUAACAGGCUGAUCGCGCCCGAGCGCCCAUAGCGGCGGCGCGGUUUGGCACCUCGAUGUCGGCUCAUCACAUCCUGGGGCUGUAGGCGGUCCCAAGGGUUUGGCUGUUCGCCAAUUAAAGUGGUACGCGAGCUGGGUUCAGACCGGCGUGAGCCAGGUCGGUCCCUAUCUGCAACGGGCGAAGGAACCUUGACGGCAACUCUUUCCUAGUACGAGAGGAUUGGAAAGAACGGACCCCUGGUGUACCAGUUGUCGCGCUAGCGGCACCGCUGGGUAGCCAUGUCCGGAACGGAUAAACGCUGAAAGCAUCUAAGCGUGAAGCCAGUGCCAAGAUUUGGGUUCCCUAAGACCCCCGGAAGACGACCGGGUUGAUAGGCCGGAGCUGCAAGCCCCGCAAUGGGUUCAGGUCACCGGUACUAAUGGUCGUGCACUUGAUCA